GUGAAAGUAGCUCAGCUGGCAGAGCUCCGGAUUGUGGUUCCGGUUGUCGCGGGUUCGAGCCCCGUCUUUCACC
Non-coding RNA from Candidatus Margulisbacteria bacterium GWE2_39_32, 73 nucleotides. The record is from Rfam. Lineage: Bacteria; Bacillati; Candidatus Margulisiibacteriota.